RNAcentral lists this ribosomal RNA (433 nucleotides) under uncultured bacterium. RNAcentral describes it as "partial 16S ribosomal RNA". It matches the Rfam family "Bacterial small subunit ribosomal RNA", at positions 29 to 507 of the family's 1533-position model. The record is from RNAcentral.
AACGAACGCUGGCGGCAUGCCUAACACAUGCAAGUCGAACGAUGCCUCCGGGCAAAUUGGCGCACGGGUGCGUAACGCGUGGGAAUCUGCCCUUGGGUUCGGAAUAACUCUCCGAAAGGCGAGCUAAUACCGGACGAUGACGAAAGUCCAAAGAUUUAUCGCCCAAGGAUGAGCCCGCGUAGGAUUAGCUAGUUGGUGGGGUAAAGGCCCGCCAAGGCGACGAUCCUUAGCUGGUCUGAGAGGAUGAUCAGCCACACUGGGACUGAGACACGGCCCAGACUCCUACGGGAGGCAGCAGUGGGGAAUAUUGGACAAUGGGCGAAAGCCUGAUCCAGCAAUGCCGCGUGAGUGAUGAAGGCCUGAGGGUUGUAAAGCUCUUUUACCCGGGAUGAUAAUGACAGUACCGGGAGAAUAAGCUCCGGCUAACUCCGUG